AGAGUUUGAUCAUGGCUCAGGAUGAACGCUAGCGGCAGGCUUAAUACAUGCAAGUCGUGGGGCAGCAUGGGGUAGCAAUACUCUGAUGGCGACCGGCAAACGGGUGCGGAACACGUACGCAACCUUCCUUUAACUGGAGAAUAGCCCCUCGAAAGAGGGAUUAGUACUCCGUAACAUGAUGAUAAGGCAUCUUAUUAUUAUUAUAGCUCCGGCGGUUAGAGAUGGGCGUGCGCCUGAUUAGGUAGUUGGCGGGGUAAUGGCCCACCAAGCCUGCGAUCAGUAACUGGUGUGAGAGCACGACCAGUCACACGGGCACUGAGACACGGGCCCGACUCCUACGGGAGGCAGCAGUAAGGAAUAUUGGUCAAUGGACGCAAGUCUGAACCAGCCAUGCCGCGUGGAGGAUUAAGGCCCUCUGGGUUGUAAACUCCUUUUAUCUGGGAAGAAAUCCAUAUAUUCUUAUGUGGUUGACGGUACCAGAGGAAUAAGCACCGGCUAACUCCGUGCCAGCAGCCGCGGUAAUACGGAGGGUGCAAACGUUAUCCGGAUUCACUGGGUUUAAAGGGUGCGUAGGCGGGUAAGUAAGUCCGUGGUGAAAUCUCUGAGCUUAACUCAGAAACUGCCGUGGAUACUAUUUGCCUUGAAUAUUGUGGAGGUGAGCGGAAUAUGUCAUGUAGCGGUGAAAUGCUUAGAUAUGACAUAGAACACCAAUUGCGAAGGCAGCUCACUACACAAUCAUUGACGCUGAGGCACGAAAGCGUGGGGAUCAAACAGGAUUAGAUACCCUAGUAGUCC
This 795-nucleotide ribosomal RNA is filed under the name uncultured bacterium. RNAcentral's name for it is "bacterial SSU rRNA". It matches the Rfam family "Bacterial small subunit ribosomal RNA", at positions 8 to 796 of the family's 1533-position model. The record is from RNAcentral.